UCGAGUGUGACCCCCGUUAAAAAGGGGGACCCUCCCGUCCUUUGCUGGCCUCUUUAUGGGGUUACUGUUUUACUUUCUGCUUCGGUGGGGUAACCCACCGGAACACCCUCAAAAUUCUUGAAUCAAACUGUUCUGUCCGAGAAUUUUUGAAAAGCAAAA
RNAcentral lists this unclassified non-coding RNA (159 nucleotides) under uncultured fungus. RNAcentral describes it as "sequence contains ITS1". Lineage: Eukaryota; Fungi. The record is from RNAcentral.